This 21-nucleotide microRNA is filed under the name Fragaria vesca subsp. vesca. Its description in RNAcentral is "fve-miR11312". The record is from miRBase by way of RNAcentral. Lineage: Eukaryota; Viridiplantae; Streptophyta; Magnoliopsida; Rosales; Rosaceae.
UGGAGCUGUUGGGGAGAGUUA